Molecule: ribosomal RNA, 503 nt
Filed under: uncultured bacterium
Lineage: Bacteria
Description: bacterial SSU rRNA
Rfam family: Bacterial small subunit ribosomal RNA
Source: RNAcentral
GAUGAACGCUGGCGGCGUGCCUAACACAUGCAAGUCGAGCGAGAUGUAUAUGGACGAAACUUCGGUCUAGGAAAUAUAUUGACAGCGGCGGACGGGUGAGUAACGCGUAGGCAACCUGCCCUUAACACAGGGAUAGCCUCGGGAAACCGGGAUUAAAACCUGAUAAUGCCAAAUAGUCACAUGGCUGUUUGGCCAAAGAUUUAUCGGUUAAGGAUGGGCCUGCGUCUGAUUAGUUUGUUGGUGGGGUAACGGCCUACCAAGACUACGAUCAGUAGCCGACCUGAGAGGGUGAUCGGCCACAUUGGAACUGAGACACGGUCCAAACUCCUACGGGAGGCAGCAGUGGGGAAUAUUGCACAAUGGGCGAAAGCCUGAUGCAGCAACGCCGCGUGAGCGAUGAAGGCCUUUGGGUCGUAAAGCUCUGUCCUUGGGGAAGAAAAAAUGACGGCACCCAAGGAGGAAGCCCCGGCUAACUACGUGCCAGCAGCCGCGGUAAAGUAUCG